GUUUUGCGUGAGCGAUAGUAGUGAAAAUCCUUUUUUGCUGUAGCAAAGCGGAAGUAGAAAAGAUUGCAACGGAUAGCGCGGUUUUUU
This 87-nucleotide small RNA is filed under the name Halpernia frigidisoli. Its description in RNAcentral is "Flavo-1 RNA". It matches the Rfam family "Flavo-1 RNA". The record is from Rfam by way of RNAcentral. Lineage: Bacteria; Pseudomonadati; Bacteroidota; Flavobacteriia; Flavobacteriales; Weeksellaceae.